CCUCAGAUAACUAACCAAACUCUAUUCUGGUUGAUAUCUACAUAGGUGUUUUGUGGUUACCCAAGGGUGCUUCUCUUGUUCUGCUUGAGGAAUACCCAAUCCUCUGAUUGUUUUCUGUGCUUGUGGUACUUAUGAUGUUACAUAUCUUGGAGUUUAUGAGGAAAUCAAGCAGCAUUUGCUCAGCACCUGAUAGAGCAGAUGCUAAGCUGGAGUCAUCAUUUCUGCCCUCCAGUUUGUGCUCACCAUAGAACUUGGAGGAAAAUGUUUUUGAAGUCAUGGAAAGGACAUAAGAAACCAUCAGUUUCACCUAAAUAUAAUGGGAGCAGAAUAGAAGGCAGGGAUUAAAAGUUGCAAAUAGACAAGGAAUAAAAAUGGCUGAGUUCUGUAACAGGAACCACUUUGCAAGGGUUCUCAGGGUAAAACGUGACGGUCAGAAGCAGGGGAAGGAGGAAGAUUUGUCUUGAAGCUGUAUUCAUAGGGUAGCAAAGAGUUUUUACAUACACUGUAGGUAAUAAGAAACAUUAAUGACAGUCAUUACAUUCCCCCAGACUUUCACAUGGAAGGUGAGUUAAUUAUAUUUAUUCACACACACAUACACAUACUCU
Molecule: long non-coding RNA, 605 nt
Filed under: Homo sapiens (human)
Lineage: Eukaryota; Metazoa; Chordata; Mammalia; Primates; Hominidae
Description: HSALNT0037306
Source: RNAcentral